This 75-nucleotide transfer RNA is filed under the name Sphaerodactylus townsendi. RNAcentral describes it as "tRNA-Ala". It matches the Rfam family "tRNA". Rfam says of the family: Transfer RNA (tRNA) molecules are approximately 80 nucleotides in length. Lineage: Eukaryota; Metazoa; Chordata; Lepidosauria; Squamata; Sphaerodactylidae. The record is from RNAcentral.
GGAAAGGCCAUGGCUCAGUGGGAGAGCAUCUGCUUGGCAUGCAGAAGGUCCCAGGUUCAAUCCCGGGCGUCUCCA